RNAcentral lists this unclassified non-coding RNA (287 nucleotides) under uncultured Oidiodendron. RNAcentral's name for it is "sequence contains ITS1". The stretch from base 1 to 105 matches the Rfam family "5.8S ribosomal RNA", at positions 50 to 154 of the family's 154-position model. The record is from RNAcentral. Lineage: Eukaryota; Fungi; Ascomycota; Leotiomycetes; Myxotrichaceae.
GAAAUGCGAUAAGUAAUGCGAAUUGCAGAAUCCAGUGAGUCAUCGAAUCUUUGAACGCACAUUGCGCCCCGUGGUAUUCCGCGGGGCAUGCCCGUUCGAGCGUCAUCAAUAUCCCUCGAGCCUGGCUCGGUCCUGGGGCACGCCUCCCCGGCGGCCCCCAACUCUAGGCGUGGCCCCCAGACACCCCCAGCGUAGUCACGCCUCGCUGGACGGGACCUGGGCGGCGGCGAGCAAAGCCCCUAUAGGUGUUUGACCUCGGAUCGGGUAGGAGUACCCGCUGAACUUAA